This 460-nucleotide ribosomal RNA is filed under the name uncultured bacterium. RNAcentral describes it as "partial 16S ribosomal RNA". It matches the Rfam family "Bacterial small subunit ribosomal RNA", at positions 338 to 795 of the family's 1533-position model. The record is from RNAcentral.
CCUACGGGUGGCAGCAGUGAGGAAUAUUGGUCAAUGGACGAGAGUCUGAACCAGCCAAGUAGCGUGAAGGAUGACUGCCCUAUGGGUUGUAAACUUCUUUUAUAUGGGAAUAAAAUGUUCCACGUGUGGGAUUUUGUAUGUACCAUAUGAAUAAGGAUCGGCUAACUCCGUGCCAGCAGCCGCGGUAAUACGGAGGAUCCGAGCGUUAUCCGGAUUUAUUGGGUUUAAAGGGAGCGUCGGUGGAUUGUUAAGUCAGUUGUGAAAGUUUGCGGCUCAACCGUAAAAUUGCAGUUGAAACUGGCAGUCUUGAGUACAGUAGAGGUGGGCGGAAUUCGUGGUGUAGCGGUGAAAUGCUUAGAUAUCACGAAGAACUCCGAUUGCGAAGGCAGUUCACUGGACUGCAACUGACACUGAGGCUCGAAAGUGUGGGUAUCAAACAGGAUUAGAUACCCGUGUAGUC